This is a long non-coding RNA of Tupaia belangeri chinensis (Chinese tree shrew), 823 nucleotides long. RefSeq lists it as uncharacterized. The record is from RefSeq and is a predicted model, not a curated record. The transcript has 4 exons. NCBI's taxonomy places the organism in Eukaryota, Metazoa, Chordata, Mammalia, Scandentia, Tupaiidae.
CUACCAGGACUAGGAUUGCCAUAGGCCAUGUGGGAGUCCAGUGACAUAACCAUUAUGCUAUCUACUAAUCCCUGAAAAGAACAUCUUAAAGUGGCCCAAGGAGUGAGGAGGCCUGCCAAAACUGAAUUGGGAGACAAGGCAGGACAAGGCAGAGAGCGUCUGCUGUGUGCCCCCAGGACACACCUUGACAAGAACUCCCUAACUACCUGGCACGGAACAAAACUGCUUUAGAAAGGCCAUCAGAAACCUAUGCUUGUGGAUGUGGUCGAAGCAAGUGCUCCAAGGACUUGCAUGUUUGUGACCUCCUCCCCUCCCCAGUCUAACCCUCAGGAGACCAUUCUUUAGUGAGCCUGUUUUGGGCGACAGGAAUGGAUUCACCCUGGGGCCAUCUGCAGUCCUGGCUCAGGUCUGCUGGAUUGGAGCCUGGUUUCCAAAUAAGGAACAUUUCAUGAGAGGACUUCCACUGGUUGCACAGGUGACCCUGAGAUCCUCCUGCUGGUGGACAAGCAGGCAAAAGGAGAGGAUGAUUGAUCCUGAUCAUAUGAGGAUGUAGGGUCGCCGAUACAAAAUACGCAAGCAAGAGUUGACCUGGCAUUUAGAGGAUGCACGUAUGAUUUGAUUUUUCUGCCUGAAUACUUGAAGAAAUACGAUAUAUUUAUAUACGAGCUGGGCACAGAACAGCCGGCCCCCCUCCCGGGGCCUCGCGGCCGGGGGCUCCCGCCCCCUGCGCAGCCGGAGGGCCCACCUCCGGCCCGGCCUCCCUGGCCUCUCCGUGCUGGACGUGGAGGCCGAAAACAAGGUUGAAGAACUUGCAACUUGAGAA